UGCAAGUCGAGGGGUAGAGUUCUUCGGAAUUUGAGACCGGCGCACGGGUGCGUAACGCGUAUGCAAUCUGCCUUUUACAGAGGGACAGCCCAGAGAAAUUUGGAUUAAUACCUCAUAGCAUAGCAAUCUCGCAUGAGAUCACUAUUAAAGUCACAACGGUAAAAGAUGAGCAUGCGUCCCAUUAGCUUGUUGGUAAGGUAACGGCUUACCAAGGCUACGAUGGGUAGGGGUCCUGAGAGGGAGAUCCCCCACACUGGUACUGAGACACGGACCAGACUCCUACGGGAGGCAGCAGUGAGGAAUAUUGGACAAUGGGCGCAAGCCUGAUCCAGCCAUGCCGCGUGCAGGAUGACGGUCCUAUGGAUUGUAAACUGCUUUUGUACGAGAAGAAACACUCCUUCGUGAAGGAGCUUGACGGUAUCGUAAGAAUAAGGAUCGGCUAACUCCGUGCCAGCAGCCGCGGUAAUACGGAGGAUCCAAGCGUUAUCCGGAAUCAUUGGGUUUAAAGGGUCCGUAGGCGGUCUUGUAAGUCAGUGGUGAAAGCCCAUCGCUCAACGGUGGAACGGCCAUUGAUACUGCUGGACUUGAAUUAUUAGGAAGUAACUAGAAUAUGUAGUGUAGCGGUGAAAUGCUUAGAGAUUACAUGGAAUACCAAUUGCGAAGGCAGGUUACUACUAAUGGAUUGACGCUGAUGGACGAAAGCGUGGGUAGCGAACAGGAUUAGAUACCCUGGUAGUCCACGCCGUAAACGAUGGAUACUAGCUGUUGGAAGCAAUUUCAGUGGCUAAGCGAAAGUGAUAAGUAUCCCACCUGGGGAGUACGUUCGCAAGAAUGAAACUCAAAGGAAUUGACGGGGGCCCGCACAAGCGGUGGAGCAUGUGGUUUAAUUCGAUGAUACGCGAGGAAACCUUACCAAAGGCUUAAAUGUAGAUUGACCGUUUUGGAAACAGAACUUUCGCAAGACAAUUUACAAGGUGCUGCAUGCUUGUCGUCAGCUCGUGCC
Molecule: ribosomal RNA, 1003 nt
Filed under: Flavobacterium sp. I-111-11
Lineage: Bacteria; Pseudomonadati; Bacteroidota; Flavobacteriia; Flavobacteriales; Flavobacteriaceae
Description: bacterial SSU rRNA
Rfam family: Bacterial small subunit ribosomal RNA
Source: RNAcentral